UGAUCAGUGUUCAGAACUGUCUGGGAUUC
This 29-nucleotide non-coding RNA is filed under the name Mus musculus (house mouse). Lineage: Eukaryota; Metazoa; Chordata; Mammalia; Rodentia; Muridae. The record is from RNAcentral.